GGCCAGAAGAUACCAAUUCACCAGUGAUCAAGAGAGGGAAGCCACCGGCAAAUUGAGAUUCGGAGGUUUUCUUUUUUUGGUUUGAAAAUGAAGGGGUUACGACUGACGUCCGGCACCACCGUCUGUCGGGGUAGUCAUCGCAUGCUCGGAUGGUGCUGUCGGUCGGAUGGCCACAUGCGGUAAUGACAUAGGUGGAGGA
Molecule: long non-coding RNA, 199 nt
Filed under: Elaeis guineensis (African oil palm)
Lineage: Eukaryota; Viridiplantae; Streptophyta; Magnoliopsida; Arecales; Arecaceae
Description: long non-coding RNA (EGUI_LNC028988)
Source: RNAcentral